This 481-nucleotide ribosomal RNA is filed under the name uncultured bacterium. RNAcentral's name for it is "bacterial SSU rRNA". It matches the Rfam family "Bacterial small subunit ribosomal RNA", at positions 30 to 506 of the family's 1533-position model. The record is from RNAcentral.
UUGAACGCUGGCGGCAUGCCUUACACAUGCAAGUCGAACGGUAACAGGUCUUCGGAUGCUGACGAGUGGCGAACGGGUGAGUAAUACAUCGGAACGUGCCCGACCGUGGGGGAUAACGCAGCGAAAGCUGUGCUAAUACCGCAUACGAUCUACGGAUGAAGCGGGGGACUCGCAAGAGCCUCGCGCGGACGGAGCGGCCGAUGGCAGAUUAGGUAGUUGGUGGGAUAAAAGCUUACCAAGCCGACGAUCUGUAGCUGGUCUGAGAGGAUGAUCCGUCACACUGGAACUGAGACACGGUCCAGACUCCUACGGGAGGCAGCAGUGGGGAAUUUUGGACAAUGGGGGCAACCCUGAUCCAGCCAUUCCGCGUGAGUGAAGAAGGCCUUCGGGUUGUAAAGCUCUUUCAGCCGGAACGAAACGGUACGCUCUAACAUAGCGUGCUAAUGACGGUACCGGCAGAAGAAGCACCGGCUAACUACGU